RNAcentral lists this ribosomal RNA (468 nucleotides) under uncultured bacterium. Its description in RNAcentral is "partial 16S ribosomal RNA". It matches the Rfam family "Bacterial small subunit ribosomal RNA", at positions 28 to 507 of the family's 1533-position model. The record is from RNAcentral.
GACGAACGCUGGCGGCGUGCUUAACACAUGCAAGUCGAACGGAAAGGCCCUGCUUUUGUGGGGUGCUCGAGUGGCGAACGGGUGAGUAACACGUGAGUAACCUGCCCUUGACUUUGGGAUAACUUCAGGAAACUGGGGCUAAUACCGGAUAGGAGCUCCUGCUGCAUGGUGGGGGUUGGAAAGUUUCGGCGGUUGGGGAUGGACUCGCGGCUUAUCAGCUUGUUGGUGGGGUAGUGGCUUACCAAGGCUUUGACGGGUAGCCGGCCUGAGAGGGUGACCGGAGACCUUGGGCCUGAGAUACGGACCAGAGUGCUACGGGAGGCAACAGUGGGGAAUCUUGCACAAUGGGAGGAAGCCGGAUGCAGCAACGCCGCGUGCGGGAUGACGGCCUUCGGGUUGUAAACCGCUUUCGCCUGUGACGAAGCGUGAGUGACGGUAAUGGGUAAAGAAGCACCGGCUAACUACGUG